Molecule: transfer RNA, 64 nt
Filed under: Tetralia glaberrima
Lineage: Eukaryota; Metazoa; Arthropoda; Malacostraca; Decapoda; Tetraliidae
Also listed under: 1 other name
Description: tRNA-Arg
Source: RNAcentral
AAUUAGAAAGCGAAUAAUUGCAUUUAGUUUCGACCUAAAUUUUGGUAGCUGUUACCUCUAAUUA